AGUGAACGCUGGCGGUAGGCCUAACACAUGCAAGUCGAACGGCAGCACAGUAAGAGCUUGCUCUUACGGGUGGCGAGUGGCGGACGGGUGAGGAAUACAUCGGAAUCUACUUUUUCGUGGGGGAUAACGUAGGGAAACUUACGCUAAUACCGCAUACGACCUACGGGUGAAAGCAGGGGAUCUUCGGACCUUGCGCGAUUGAAUGAGCCGAUGUCGGAUUCGCUAGUUGGCGGGGUAAAGGCCCACCAAGGCGACGAUCCGUAGCUGGUCUGAGAGGAUGAUCAGCCACACUGGAACUGAGACACGGUCCAGACUCCUACGGGAGGCAGCAGUGGGGAAUAUUGGACAAUGGGCGCAAGCCUGAUCCAGCCAUACCGCGUGAGUGAAGAAGGCCUUCGGGUUGUAAAGCCCUUUUGUUGGGAAAGAAAAGCAGCAGGUUAAUACCCCGCUGUUCUGACGGUACCCAAAGAAUAAGCACCGGCUAACUUCGUG
Molecule: ribosomal RNA, 492 nt
Filed under: uncultured bacterium
Lineage: Bacteria
Description: partial 16S ribosomal RNA
Rfam family: Bacterial small subunit ribosomal RNA
Source: RNAcentral